UAAGUGAUGCUGGGAGGGGAGGUUUCGAUAAGGAGACAGUAGUUAUGGAGUGCUCUCAAAAGGGAAAGGAGACAAACCUCUGAGCCUGCGGAGGGAAAAGGUAAGGACAGUGAGGAGGAUGCUCCACUUCUGCCCAGGGGCUGGUUUCCCUAACUACCAAAUUCUCUCUUUUCUCCAGGUACCCAAUCCUGACUCUGGUUCCCUUGUGUACACUUGAUCCUUCUUCACAAAGGCGCUGGGAUGGAGGGUCCCUCUCCUAGCAGCACGUCCCUAAGCUAUAGGAAAAGUGCCAAGGAAGCUGGAAUAUUGAGAAUACCCUGUAUUUUUAUUUUGCUUAAUUGGAUUAGCUUUACUUGCAGCCACCUGCAGAGCCUCUUUGAUGUAGAGAAAAACAUACUAAGACUUUUCUCCAACUGAAUUUCUUCAAGUCAUCUAUAUAUACCGACACAGAAAGACGUUCAUGAAAUAUUAAGUGGAAAAAAAUAAUAAACAAGUUGCAGAACAAAGUAUAUAAUGUAAUGCCCUCUUUGGGAGAAUUUUUUUUCUCUGCAGCUAGAUUAAUACCUGGAAAGAAAAAUAAUGAUCAACUCGACUGCGUGGGAAUGGAGAAGAACUUACACUUUUUAUGUUAUUCACUUCCAUAUUGUUGAAUUACUUUAACACUUCAAAAAAAUAUAUCUGUGUAAUAUCUUUCAGUAUAUCUUCUGGGCUCUCAUUUCCUUCUCUCUAAAGGACUGAGGCUGAGCCACAAGGCCAAUUAAAGCUAUAAAAGUACAAGAUUUGUCUAUAUCUGACUCUCUGCUAAUCCCUGUGGACAAAACAAGGAGUAUAACCUACAACUGCAGACCUCAGGAAGUCGAGAAAGAGGGAGGGAUGGGGUGGGGGGAGUGAAUGCUCCAGGCAGCACGAGAGAAGUGCUCCAGGUCAGGGAAGGGUAUGAGGGGUUCAGGAGACGGUGUAGGGGCCCCUGCUUGGAGCACAAGGUAGCUCAGGGUGCCUAGAGCGAGAUGAUGUUGAUGGGUGGCAUGGAGCGAGCUGAAAUAAACCUUGACUGCCAGGCGUACACGGUUUAGUUUUAUUUUGAAGGCAAUUUGUGGGUGAGGAACAGGACACUGAAGGUUUUUUUUAAGGGUCAACAAAAGAAAAGCCUUGUCCCUUUGUUCCCUUUCAUCUUUCCUGUGGUUUUCUUGUUACCAGAUGGGACCCUUCUCAUACUGCCUUGGAAUAUUUACAUUUCAGAGGAAACCAGUCAGAUGGCCAGGCCUGCAAGAAAUGCAUCCUUCUCUCCUGGUAGCAGCGUACACAGUGCUGCAUCAUAGAAGGUCCACCGUAAAAGGAAUAAUGCUGAUAAGUUAAUAGCCCCUGCGCUUUUGGACCUGGAAGCAAAGGAAGACAUCAGUAACUGACUGACCCCAACAGGAAGAGACUACCUUGCUCUCCCAAACAGGAAGCGCAGCUACAUUCCUGCCCCAGCAGGAGGAAGGAAGACUUCCUUCUUGCCCAGCAACAAGCCCAGCCAAUGGAAAACCCUGCAGGUCAGCCAAAAACAAGCUAUCAUCACUUGAGCUUUUACCUUCCUCCAAUGAACUUUCCUUUUUUCCUUGCUGAUGAUCUCCUUUCCCUGUCCUGCCUUCCUUUAUAAAAGCCUUCCAUGCCCUGCAGCUCCUCAGAAUAUCUCUGUUUGCCACAUGAGAUGCUGCCCAAUUGAUUCAUGAAUUGCUUACCAAAACCACUUCGAUCUUCAGAUUUACUCAGUUACUUUUUGUUUUUUUAACCAACGGCAGAGAAGUGCUUGUCUUUGCAGUUUUGCUCUUUAUGGAGAUUCCUGAGAUAUAGCCAUAGAUGACAAACUCUUGGUCAAAAUUGUCCUCUCAAGGUCGAUAAUCUCCAAUUUCUCUUUCCAAAACUUGAAACUUCACGUAUUACAUCAUUUUAUUUGUAUAUGGAGAACACCGACCUGUCAAAAAACCUUGACCUGUCCAUGUGUGACCAGCAAAUUCCCUCAGUGUCAAUGAACCUUUUCGGGGUGUAUCUGACUGUUAGAAGAAAAAUAAAAUGAGGGAUGAGUUUUAUCGUUUCAAAUAUUUUUAAAAACGAAAGUUAUGGUUAACAGAGAACCGACCCAAAAUGUAUGGGAUGUGCUGGGCUUGAAAACUGUUCCGUGGCCAGAGAUCUUUCUUGAAGGGGUGAUCUUUCUACACGGACAGGUACUGUGCUCAACACAUGUUUUUGUGGAUGCCUUCCUCUGAGCUAAAUGAAGGAUGAUAUGCUCUUGUUUAAAAUAAAUGCAAUCCUUAAAAAGACAAAAGAAAAUCUAUAUAUGCUUCGAUCAGUCGCUCGUUUAUCAUUCAUUCACUCGCUUAUUUGAAAACUUUUAUUUAGAUAUUGCUAAGUAUAAGGUCCACUAAACACACCUAUCAAUUUAAUUAUGUAAUUGUAGUUUUUA
Molecule: long non-coding RNA, 2446 nt
Organism: Globicephala melas (long-finned pilot whale)
Lineage: Eukaryota; Metazoa; Chordata; Mammalia; Artiodactyla; Delphinidae
Source: RefSeq, a predicted model, not a curated record